GUACCUACGGGGCGCAGCAGUGGGGAAUAUUGGUCAAUGGGCGCGAGCCUGAACCAGCCAAGUCGCGUGAGGGAUGACGGUCCUACGGAUUGUAAACCUCUUUUGCCGGGGAGCAAGCGUGCGUUCGUGAACGCACGUCGAGAGUACCCGGAGAAAAAGCAUCGGCUAACUCCGUGCCAGCAGCCGCGGUAAUACGGAGGAUGCGAGCGUUAUCCGGAUUUAUUGGGUUUAAGGGUGCGUAGGCGGGGUGGCCA
This 254-nucleotide ribosomal RNA is filed under the name uncultured bacterium. Its description in RNAcentral is "partial 16S ribosomal RNA". It matches the Rfam family "Bacterial small subunit ribosomal RNA", at positions 333 to 586 of the family's 1533-position model. The record is from RNAcentral.